GUGGGGUAAUGGCCCACCAAGGCUUCGACGGGUAGCUGGUCUGAGAGGACGAUCAGCCACACUGGGAUUGAGACACGGCCCAGACUCCUACGGGAGGCAGCAGUGGGGAAUCUUGCGCAAUGGGCGAAAGCCUGACGCAGCAACGCCGCGUGCGGGAUGAAGGCCCUCGGGUUGUAAACCGCUUUCAGCAGGAACGAAAAUGACGGUACCUGCAGAAGAAGGUCCGGCCAACUACGUGCCAGCAGCCGCGGUAACACGUAGGGACCAAGCGUUGUCCGGAUUUAUUGGGCGUAAAGCGCUCGUAGGCGGUUCGGUAAGUCGGGUGUGAAACCCCUGGGCUCAACCCGGGGACGCCACCCGAUACUGCUGUGACUCGAGUUCGGUAGGGGAGCGGGGAAUUCCUGGUGUAGCGGUGAAAUGCGCAGAUAUCAGGAGGAACACCGGUGGCGAAGGCGCCGCUCUGGGCCGAAACUGACGCUGAGGAGCGAAAGCAUGGGUAGCAAACAGGAUUAGAUACCCUGGUAGUCCAUGCCGUAAACGUUGGGCACUAGGUGUGGGUUCCAACCAACGGAAUCCGCGCCGUCGCUAACGCAUUAAGUG
Molecule: ribosomal RNA, 600 nt
Filed under: uncultured Actinomycetes bacterium
Lineage: Bacteria; Bacillati; Actinomycetota; Actinomycetes
Description: bacterial SSU rRNA
Rfam family: Bacterial small subunit ribosomal RNA
Source: RNAcentral